This 253-nucleotide ribosomal RNA is filed under the name uncultured bacterium. RNAcentral describes it as "partial 16S ribosomal RNA". It matches the Rfam family "Bacterial small subunit ribosomal RNA", at positions 524 to 776 of the family's 1533-position model. The record is from RNAcentral.
UACGGGGGGGGCAAGCGUUGUUCGGAAUUACUGGGCGUAAAGGGCUCGUAGGCGGCCAACUAAGUCGGACGUGAAAUCCCCAGGCUCAACCUGGGAACUGCGUCCGAUACUGGAUGGCUUGAAUCCGGGAGAGGGAUGCAGAAUUCCAGGUGUAGCGGUGAAAUGCGUAGAUAUCUGGAGGAAUACCGGUGGCGAAGGCGGCAUCCUGGACCGGCAUUGACGCUGAGGAGCGAAAGCUAGGGGAGCCAACGGG